UACGGAGGAUCCAAGCGUUAUCCGGAAUCAUUGGGUUUAAAGGGUCCGUAGGCGGUUUUGUAAGUCAGUGGUGAAAGCCCAUCGCUCAACGGUGGAACGGCCAUUGAUACUGCAAGACUUGAAUUAUUGGGAAGUAACUAGAAUAUGUAGUGUAGCGGUGAAAUGCUUAGAGAUUACAUGGAAUACCAAUUGCGAAGGCAGGUUACUACUAAUGGAUUGACGCUGAUGGACGAAAGCGUGGGGAGCGAACAGG
This 253-nucleotide ribosomal RNA is filed under the name uncultured bacterium. Its description in RNAcentral is "partial 16S ribosomal RNA". It matches the Rfam family "Bacterial small subunit ribosomal RNA", at positions 524 to 776 of the family's 1533-position model. The record is from RNAcentral.